This 683-nucleotide long non-coding RNA is filed under the name Numida meleagris (helmeted guineafowl). RNAcentral's name for it is "lncRNA (ENSNMEG00000002595.1)". The record is from RNAcentral. Lineage: Eukaryota; Metazoa; Chordata; Aves; Galliformes; Numididae.
AUUUAUAUCCGUAUAUCGUGGGGGGGGGCAUCCCAGUGUGACCCCAGUGGGUGAAUGUCACCUGCCGGUGACACCCAGGCCCCACUGGUCCCAUCCCGGUAUGGUGCUGGUGCCCCAAAUGGACCCAAGUGUCCCAUCCCAGUAUCACCCCAGUCUCCAGUUGUCCCUUCCCAGUACCCCCCCAGUCUGCAAAUAUCCCAUCCCAGUAUGACCCCAGUUCCCAAAUGUCCCCUCCCAGUAUGACCCCAGUCCCCACAGGUCCCAUCCCAGUAUCACCCCAGUCUCCAGUUGUCCCUUCCCAGUAUCCCCCCAGUCUGCAAAUGUCCCAUCCCAGUAUGACCCCAGUCCCCAAAUGUCCCAUCCCAGUACCACCCAGUCCCCACUGGUCCCAUCCCAGUAUCACUCCAGUCCCAAAUGUCCCCUCCCAGUAUGACCCCAGUCCCCAUAGAUCCCAUCCCAGUAUCACCCCAGCCUCCAGUUGUCCCUUCCCAGUAUCCCCCCAUUCUGCAAAUGUCCCGUCCCAGUAUCACCCUAGCCCCCCAACAUCCCAUCCCAGUACCCCCCCAGUCCCCAAAUGUCCCCUCCCAGUACCACCCAGUCCCCACAGAUCCCAUCCCAGUACCAAGCCAGUGGCCCAAAUGGACCCAAAGGCCCCAUCCCAGUAUCACUCCAGUGCCCCCAUG